This is a long non-coding RNA of Clupea harengus (Atlantic herring), 691 nucleotides long. RefSeq lists it as uncharacterized. NCBI's taxonomy places the organism in Eukaryota, Metazoa, Chordata, Actinopteri, Clupeiformes, Clupeidae. The record is from RefSeq and is a predicted model, not a curated record. The transcript is spliced from 4 exons.
GCAAACUGGAGAAACUAGUGCUGAGUGCUUGUUCCCUCACAGAGAACAACUGUGCUGCUUUGGCAUCAGCUGCCAGAUCAACUUCCUGCAAUUUGAAGGAGCUGAACCUGAGUCGCAAUAAUCUUCAUGAUGCAGCAGUUCAGCAUCUCUCAGACCUCAUCAAGAAUCCUCACUGCAAACUGGUGACACUAGUGGUGGAUCAUCAAACCUUCAGAAAGGAGAGUCCAGCAGCAGCAUUCUCCGCUAGCAGCAGGCCUGGCCCAGGAACCAGUUUGGAGUGUCAGACUGUACAGACACUCAAGGACAAAAGAGAUUGAGGGAGGGAACCAGAGAAGGACGACACAGAAGAAGCAAGAAGACAACCCCACACGCCGGCAUGAUACCCUUGGGGGUCAGCAGCACAUGCGCUCUUUUUGUUAAUUGUUAAUUUUACUUUUCUUAUAAUACAGGCAUUUACUAAAAACAAAUUAACUAUGUAAUACAUUUAACUAUGCAUUCCUUUAUGUAUGAUUUAAAAAUACGAUUAUAUGUUGGAAAAAUGAGAGACAGAAAGAUAAGGGACAAAGAUCAUAGGCACAUUUGACCUAAUCAAUGCGAUUAUAUGAGGGGAAAAAUGAGAGACAGCAAGAUAAGGGACAAAAAGAGAUCAUAGGCACAUUAUGCACUCCUAUACUGAAAUCCUAGCACAUAA